This 480-nucleotide long non-coding RNA is filed under the name Hordeum vulgare. RNAcentral describes it as "long non-coding RNA (HVUL_LNC014700)". Lineage: Eukaryota; Viridiplantae; Streptophyta; Magnoliopsida; Poales; Poaceae. The record is from RNAcentral.
CUUGCUCGAGGUCUGGGGCGUCACGGACACCGUCAUGACCCCGCCCCGACGCGACCCGGUGCCCGACAAGGAUCGCUCGCGAGCCCGGCGACCAGCAUGUGUGCACUCUCGACGCACCAUGUGGUGUAUGCCACAUUGCCCCGUGGGUUGGGCCUGCAUGGCGUGCCGAUCUGUAGCACAUCCUCCGCCUCGUCACUGGCCAAUCUGUAUGCGUUUUCUCGGAGCUAGCCGUAAGGAGGCAGAUGGCUUCCCGUUUUAGUAACGCGAUGCUGAAGCGACAACACAAACACACCAUGUUCUAUUCUUUUUCUUUUUGAAGAUCACACCAGGUUAUAUUUGUACACCAUUUUUCUACCAGUAAUUGCUGAGUAUGUGAACACAAUCAUUUGUGAGCAAAAGUUGAACUAUAAGUUGCGAUAUUUGAGAUGUGUACACAUAGAAAGGCAUCAAUUCAAUUGAUCAUCAGAUUCAGAAUAGUAC